RNAcentral lists this ribosomal RNA (510 nucleotides) under uncultured Paracoccaceae bacterium. RNAcentral's name for it is "bacterial SSU rRNA". It matches the Rfam family "Bacterial small subunit ribosomal RNA", at positions 540 to 1050 of the family's 1533-position model. Lineage: Bacteria; Pseudomonadati; Pseudomonadota; Alphaproteobacteria; Rhodobacterales; Paracoccaceae. The record is from RNAcentral.
GUUGUUCGGAAUUACUGGGCGUAAAGCGCGCGUAGGCGGACUGGAAAGUUGGGGGUGAAAUCCCAGGGCUCAACCCUGGAACUGCCUCCAAAACUAUCAGUCUAGAGUUCGAGAGAGGUGAGUGGAAUUCCGAGUGUAGAGGUGAAAUUCGUAGAUAUUCGGAGGAACACCAGUGGCGAAGGCGGCUCACUGGCUCGAUACUGACGCUGAGGUGCGAAAGUGUGGGGAGCAAACAGGAUUAGAUACCCUGGUAGUCCACACCGUAAACGAUGAAUGCCAGUCGUCGGGUAGCAUGCUAUUCGGUGACACACCUAACGGAUUAAGCAUUCCGCCUGGGGAGUACGGUCGCAAGAUUAAAACUCAAAGGAAUUGACGGGGGCCCGCACAAGCGGUGGAGCAUGUGGUUUAAUUCGAUGCAACGCGAAGAACCUUACCUACUCUUGACAUUUAGUGAAUCUGGAAGAGAUUUCGGAGUGCCGCGAGGAACACUAAAACAGGUGCUGCAUGGCU